This 261-nucleotide ribosomal RNA is filed under the name uncultured eukaryote. Its description in RNAcentral is "partial 18S ribosomal RNA". It matches the Rfam family "Eukaryotic small subunit ribosomal RNA", at positions 6 to 226 of the family's 1831-position model. The record is from RNAcentral.
GGUUGAUCCUGCCAGUAGUCAUAUGCUUGUCUCAAAGAUUAAGCCAUGCACGUGUAAGUUUAAGCGAGAAAGCCCCGCCAGACUGCGGAUGGCUCAGCAGUCGGCUAUAACCACUUCGUCUUCUGUGCACACUUUUUGUUUGGAGUUCAUCCUCUUUUUAACUUACCUCUUUUAACUUUUUGGAUAACUCUGGCAAAUCUAGAGCUAAUACAUGCUUUCUCAAAAAAAAAAACUUUCACAUGCGUGAAGUUUAAUUACUUU